RNAcentral lists this ribosomal RNA (94 nucleotides) under Caerostris darwini. The record is from RNAcentral. Lineage: Eukaryota; Metazoa; Arthropoda; Arachnida; Araneae; Araneidae.
UGAUACCGGUUCUCGUUAGAUCACCAGGAGGUUAAGCAUCAUUGGGCGGGUCAGUACUUGGGUGGGUGACCACCUGGGAACACUGCGUGCCGUU